UCGCCGCGGUAAUACCAGCCCUGCGAGUGGUCGGGAUGUUUAUUGGGCCUAAAGCGUCCGUAGCCGGCCCGGUAAGUCCUCCCUCAAAGCCUCAGGCUCAAACCUGAGGAAGGGGAGGAUACUGCCGGGCUAGGGGGCGGGAGAGGCCGGGGGUACGUCCCGGGUACGGGGCGGAAAUACCGUUAAUCCCGGGACGGACCUCCAGUGGCGAAGGC
RNAcentral lists this ribosomal RNA (215 nucleotides) under uncultured archaeon. Its description in RNAcentral is "partial 16S ribosomal RNA". It matches the Rfam family "Archaeal small subunit ribosomal RNA", at positions 462 to 673 of the family's 1478-position model. The record is from RNAcentral.